This is a non-coding RNA of Hydra vulgaris (swiftwater hydra), 1438 nucleotides long. The record is from RefSeq and is a predicted model, not a curated record. Lineage: Eukaryota; Metazoa; Cnidaria; Hydrozoa; Anthoathecata; Hydridae.
UUGGAGUUAAAUAAAGGUAUGGUACUUCAAUUUGCUCCAAAAAAUUUAACAAGAAUGCUAUAACUAAACACUUCUUAAUUUUUAACAAUAAAAAGAUAUGGAAUAAGUUAAAAUAUUUUUUUUUUAGUGAAGAUAAAGGAGGAGAUUGGUAUAAAUUGUAUAAUUUACUUUUAAAUUAAUUUUCAAUUAAAAAGCUAUGACAUGCUGUAAUGUUUCAUUAAAAUAUCUUUUAGCUCGCAUAUCUAUUAGCUCGCAAAAAAGAGGAACUUGCUGCUGCAGAGCAAAUUAGUUACGAUUUACCAACCUCAUCGGUGUCAUCACUAUUUCUGCCACCUGGCGCCAACAAUUCUGAAGAAAACCUUAAAAGUUUGUCAAUGAUGGAUUUUCUUAUUUGGCGCCAAAGCCACCCUGAGCCUAAAUCAAAUCGGGCUUUUCGUAUAUGGGGCCAGAAUGGAGGCUAAGACUUGCCUAAUUUUAAAUUUCUGCCUCUUGGUAGCAGAAGGAGUGGCAGAAGAGGCAGGAAAACAAACCUUGUUGUAAGACUAUACUUACAUGAUUAGUAAUAGUAACACUAUACAUACACGAUUAAUAAUUUGUUUUGUAAUAUGAAAAGCGAAAAUUUCAUAGAAUGGUUUCAUUCAAUUUUUUUAGUUCAUGCAAACAAACUUCAAUGGAUAUAAAGUUCUAUUUUUAGACGGCCAUGCAUCUCACAUUAAUUUUGAAUUAAAAAUAUUAUCUGAAUCAAACAGCAUAAUGUUAUUCUGAUAUCCAACUCAAAAAAGUCAUUUUUUGCAACCACUAGAUGUCGGAAUUUUAAAACAGUAAAGGCGGAAUUGAAGCGAAUUGUAGAAAUUUACUUGGUUAGAAAUUCUUAUUUAAGUUUCCGGCAGUUUUCAGCUAUGCUAAAAGACCUUAUUGCAACUAAAAGCUAUAAAGGGAAAAUACACGUAGUGGUUUUGAAAAUACAGGCAUAUUUCCACUCAGUCGUUCAAAAAUAACUCCAAAUAAAAAUGCAAUCGGUGCUAUUUUUCAAGAUGUAACAAAUGACAAAAUUGAGAAUUUUUUUUCUGGAAAGUCUACUGAUUCACAAGUUUCACUCAAUAAAAACUAAUAAAAUAAAUUCAAAAAACUCUAUGAAUAGACUUUCAACAAAAGAAGUAUUGCCCAAAGAAUCAGAUAACAUCAAAAAUGCCGUUAAACAAGCAUCUUAACAUAUCAUAACAAGCAUAUUAAUAUAUCAGUGCUCAGUGUGCUUAGAUAUAGAUUAAAGCCUCUUUCCAGUAGUAAAGAAAAGGGAAAAAUAAUUAAAAGAACAACAAGUUACAACAUGACUGAAUUAUUCGCAUUGGCUCAGGACUAAGCAACACAAGCUGCAAAAAAAAAAGAAAACUAGAUGAAAAAGAAGCCAGAAAAGUUGUUAGAGAAAAAAAAAUUGGAU